Molecule: ribosomal RNA, 426 nt
Filed under: Triticum aestivum (bread wheat)
Lineage: Eukaryota; Viridiplantae; Streptophyta; Magnoliopsida; Poales; Poaceae
Description: partial small subunit ribosomal RNA
Source: RNAcentral
AUGCGUGGCCUCCGCUCCUUUUCUAUUUACCGUUUCUAUCUGGUUUCUGUCUGGUAUAAAUACAACGGUGCUGCCUAUUUCUGUUUCGGCUUUGUACAUGGGCCUACGAUUUCUGUACUAGCGUGCACGCACAAGAUGUUCGGUCCAUGCGGCUUCAAAUUUGGCCCACCUCGCGCGCUGGCGAGGUUGGUUGGUGAGAAAAAUAAAUGUGUGGUUGCUGGGCCCGCUCGGCGACAGCAGCGUCGACCAUUAAGCGGCGCAUGUUCGUGUUUGGGCCCCAGAAAGUGGACGGCACCGCGCGGGGCGGGGGGCGGCAGCGCCGCUUCCCGCCAUGGACGGCAUGGAGUUCUUCUUCGAGGAAUCUGCAGCAGGGUUCGUGCCGCGGUUGGACAGCAGAGUUUGCUUAAGGGAUCUCGUUGCCGGUGA